CCUACGGGUGGCAGCAGUGAGGAAUAUUGGUCAAUGGACGAGAGUCUGAACCAGCCAAGUAGCGUGAAGGAGGACUGCCCUAUGGGUGGUAAACUUCUUUUAUAUGGGAAUAAAAUGUUCAACGUGUGGAAUUUUGUAUGUACCAUAUGAAUAAGGAUCGGCUAACUCCGUGCCAGCAGCCGCGGUAAUACGGAGGAUCCGAGCGUUAUCCGGAUUUAUUGGGUUUAAAGGGAGCGUAGGUGGAUUGUUAAGUCAGUUGUGAAAGUUUGCGGCUCAACCCUAAAAUUGCAGUUGAAACUGGCAGUCUUGAGUACAGUAGAGGUGUGCGGAAUUCGUGGUGUAGCGGUGAAAUGCUUAGAUAUCACGAAGAACUCCGAUUGCGAAGGCAGCUCCCUGGACUGCAACUGACGCUGAGGCUCGAAAGUGUGGGUAUCAAACAGGAUUAGAUACCCGGGUAGUC
This 460-nucleotide ribosomal RNA is filed under the name uncultured bacterium. RNAcentral describes it as "partial 16S ribosomal RNA". It matches the Rfam family "Bacterial small subunit ribosomal RNA", at positions 338 to 795 of the family's 1533-position model. The record is from RNAcentral.